RNAcentral lists this ribosomal RNA (1675 nucleotides) under Penaeus monodon (black tiger shrimp). RNAcentral's name for it is "eukaryotic LSU rRNA". It matches the Rfam family "Eukaryotic large subunit ribosomal RNA", at positions 1568 to 2809 of the family's 3401-position model. Lineage: Eukaryota; Metazoa; Arthropoda; Malacostraca; Decapoda; Penaeidae. The record is from RNAcentral.
AGUUCUGCGGGCGGAGGACUAGCACCAGCCAUGAUUAGUGUGGCACCGCCAGUGGCGUACAAGGGGACAACAGAGUUGGAGGCGCCCCGGUCGGGGGAAGAAGAAGAAGAGGAAGGAAGGAGAGCUAGUGCUCUUCUUCCUUCCUUCCUUCCUUUCAGCCUUAGCCCUCGGGAGUCGAGAUGCCUACCCAGCGCGCCCGCGUUGCGGGGGGGGCAGUCCGUACCUUACUCCGCAGCAGGUCUCCAAGGUGUUCAGCCUCUGGUCGAUAGAUCAAUGUAGGUAAGGGAAGUCGGCAAGUUAGAUCCGUAACUUCGGGACAAGGAUUGGCUCUGAGGGUCGAGCCAUGCCGGGCCCACAGCCGGAAGCGGUCCCUCGUUCCCCUGGCGGGUCGGCCGCCGGUGCGGCGCGGAGGCGGCGGCGAGGAGGGGGCCCAAGGGUGCCCUUGGCGGUCGGCGCCGCGGCGUUUCUGUCCGCUCCGAGGGAGAAGGACUGGGCGAGGGGCGGCCUUUCACGAGGUCGCUCCGAGCUCGGACCCGACCCCGCAGGGGCGGCUGCCGUGCCUGCGGCUGCUCGCCUGCCGCUGGUGCCCUCCCCUCCGCUCGAGCCGCGCAGCCCGAGCGCCCGCCGGCAUCACGCGCCCCCGCCGUCGCGGGUCGGGACCAACGCGGAAGGCGCCUCUCGGGCAAAGGCCGGGGUUUCCCUCCCGUUUCCCCGGCCGCGGCUGGCAACAGACGGCCGUCUCAGAACUGGCACGGACCAGGGGAAUCCGACUGUUUAAUUAAAACAAAGCAAUGCGAUGGUCGGUGAUCGAUGCUGACGCAUUGUGAUUUCUGCCCAGUGCUCUGAAUGUCAAAGUGAAGAGAUUCAACCAAGCGCGGGUAAACGGCGGGAGUAACUAUGACUCUCUUAAGGUAGCCAAAUGCCUCGUCAUCUAAUUAGUGACGCGCAUGAAUGGAUUAACGAGAUUCCCACUGUCCCUACCUACUAUCUAGCGAACCCACAGGCAGGGGAACGGGCCUGCAGUUAACGGCGGGGAAAGAAGACCCUGUUGAGCUUGACUCUAGUUUGGCUUUGUAGAGAGGCACCUGAGGUGUAGCAUAAGUGGGAGGGCGCUCGCGCCCGACGAUGAAAUACCACUACUCUGGUCGUCUCUCUACUUACUCGGUGAUGCGGGAGCGGGAGGCGUGACGGGGUUCGGGCAUGCGAGCGGGCCGGCGGCCCCCCGGGGCUCAGCCGCGCCCUCCUCCUGCCCGUCUUCCCUAUGCCUCUACCGAUUUUAGACUGCAAGUGACAUGAACAAGAGCGGCCGCCUCCCCGGGGGGCGAAAGGGGCUUCUCCGCGCGGGGGCGGUCGUCGCCGCCGCUCGCGGCGCGCGUCGCGACCCGUUCCGAGGACAGAGCCAGAUGGGGAGUUUGACUGGGGCGGUACAUCUGUCAAACGAUAACGCAGAUGUCCCAAGGUCAGCUCAGCGUGGACAGAAACCACGUGUAGAGCCCAAGGGCAAAUGCUGGCUUGAUCCGGACUCUCAGUACGAGCACGGACUGCGAAAGCACGGCCUACGAUCCUCCUGCCCGUCUUCCCUAUGCCUCUACCGAUUUUAGACUGCAAGUGACAUGAACAAGAGCGGCCGCCUCCCCGGGGGGCGAAAGGGGCUUCUCCGCGCGGGGGCGGUCGU